GGCUCAACUUUGAAGUAGAGCAGAUUAGAAGGAUUAUCUGAUCCUACUGAACUAUUCUACUUCGACUUUGUGCCG
This is a non-coding RNA of Haemonchus placei, 75 nucleotides long. The record is from Rfam. NCBI's taxonomy places the organism in Eukaryota, Metazoa, Nematoda, Chromadorea, Rhabditida, Trichostrongylidae.